UACGUAGGGGGCGAGCGUUGUCCGGAUUUAUUGGGCGUAAAGGGCUCGCAGGUGGCCGCGUGCGUCGUGCGUGAAAUACCCCGGCUCAACUGGGGAGGGUCGUGCGAUACGGCGAGGCUAGAGGCCAGUAGGGGGAUGUGGAAUUCCGGGUGUAGUGGUGGAAUGCGUAGAGAUCCGGAGGAACACCAGCGGCGAAGGCGGCAUCCUGGACUGGUCCUGACACUCAGGAGCGAAAGCGUGGGGAGCGAUC
Molecule: ribosomal RNA, 250 nt
Filed under: uncultured bacterium
Lineage: Bacteria
Description: partial 16S ribosomal RNA
Rfam family: Bacterial small subunit ribosomal RNA
Source: RNAcentral